UGUUAGAGUGUGAUUAUGAUUCACACGGUUUAGAUAUUUCAGAUUAGUAUAAAGUGAUAAGGUCUCAGUUUGUUUAUAAGAGUAAUCCAGUUUUGGUUUGGAUUAGAACUCUAUUUGGGAUUUGAGUUUAGUACUCCUGAUUGUACAAGGAUUUAGUUUCAUAUUCCUUGUAGGAUUGUUAUAGGUGAUCCGGAACUUGUAGUAUAAAACCACAAUCCCCUGCUCUCGCAAAGAUACACUCUGAAUUUCGUUCCAGUUGCCUAUAAUCUGGAGAGUAUCGAGCUUUGCAGAGAGGAGAAGGUUUUGUGCAGAUUUCCAUAUCUUCUUCGUCUGUGAACAUGUCUGCAGGUAUGCACUGAUGCAAUUAUUUUUGUUCUUACAUUCAUAUUGCGUACAUGAUCAAAGGGUUGUGAUUUAAUUGUUUAAUCCUUGUGUUCUUGGCUGUUGAGUUGAUCGAUAAGUUUCUAUCUCUUCUCACAUGAGGUAUCAGAGCCAAUGGAUUCUUCAUUUAAAUUCAAUCUUGAAAUCGUUUUAAUCUGCAAAACAAAACUGACCUAUGGCAACCAGUCUGUUUAAAUUCGAAAUUGCAAGAAACGACGUCGUUUAAUUUAUUAAUCUUCUUUAAUAUUAUGACUGUUGGACUGGGUUUUUGACUGCAAUCGAAGAAAAAAAAAAAACCUCGAUUUUCAUUCUGUGUGAGAAAGAUCCGUAAUCUGAUAUGGCAAUAUCGUUUUUCUCAAACAUCAUAAAACAAAUUUCUUGUAUAACUAUUGCUUCCGCUGCGUAGAUUAUGAUAUCUGCAAAUUGAGGUAAUUUUCUGUUUCUUCUCCAUCCAUAUUGCGUUAAAAUAUAAAGAAGUAUUAUGGAAUUUUUGCUAUGUUUGCUUAAGAUUGGUGUACAAAGAUUAUGCAAUGCAUUCAAUUCCAUGUCUAUAGAUUAUUGACAUACUGCUCUUUUGUUUUCUUGUCACAAAUGAAAUUCUGAUCUGCGUGAUGAGUGAGUUUAUGCAUACACAAAUGGGUUGUUUCAUCUAUAUAUGUUUUUCAUGCUCAUGAGAAAUCUAUAUAUAUGACUAAAUUGAUUCAUUAACAUUGUGUAUUAAGUGAAAGUGGAUUGAAAUCAAGAACUUUUGGUUCUUUUAUUGAGAUUUCAUUUUGUCCAUGUCUGCAGUUUCGCUUAAAACACUCAACCUUGCAAGUGUUCCGAUUCUCACGGGGGGAAGUAACUACAAGAAGUGGAGGCGAGAAAUCGGUCUGCUACUGACUCUUAAUGAAUUUGAUAUUGCAUUAGACACUCCUAAGCCGCCAUUAUUGUCAGAUAAAAGCUCUGCCAAAUGGGAUUUUUAAAGCACAUGUUACUCAUAUGGGAGUUAUAGAUGCUUUAGAUAAGUGAGAGUGAUUGAAGUUAUUUUAUGUAGCUUUUGGAAGACAGUUAUAGGAUGCUUUUCCAAAGGAUGAGUGUCGUAGCAAAGUUUUCUGGAGCUAGGUAUUGUAAUUUAUUUAGUUACAACUUUCUUUGUGAUUUAGCAGUUAGUUGAGGUUUCUUUUAGUUCAACCUUUUCAGACAAAUCUGUGAUUGGUUGUUCACAGGAAACAUUUUUGAUAGUUCAAUAAAAUCUUUGAGUCAAAAUUUCGUUUUGAUAAAGAUAGUUUGAGAGUUGAACUUGGUUAUUCUUAUUGAUGAAUAGCUCAAGAACUUUUGUUGUAUUUCUGGACAACAUCAGUGAGUAAGUUUUGGUUUACUCCUAUUUUGGAUCACUUUGCUGAGAGCAUGAGUUAGACACUGUGAUUUGUAAGUCAAUUCUGCAUAUUGUAUUGUAGAGAAGAUUAUAAGUUCAUUGUCUUAGCGCAUGUUUUCAGUUUUGUGUUUUUUUUUUUUUGGUUGAGAAACAUUGUUAUGAGAUUUCUGCAAUUACUGUUGUGUUAAUUUGAAAUGAUUCUUUACUAUGGUGAAUCAUACUCAAGUGGGAGAAUGUUAGAGUGUGAUUAUGAUUCACACGGUUUAGAUAUUUCAGAUUAGUAUAAAGUGAUAAGGUCUCAGUUUGUUUAUAAGAGUAAUCCAGUUUUGGUUUGGAUUAGAACUCUAUUUGGGAUUUGAGUUUAGUACUCCUGAUUGUACAAGGAUUUAGUUUCAUAUUCCUUGUAGGAUUGUUAUAGGUGAUCCGGAACUUGUAGUAUAAAACCACAAGCCCCUGCUCUCGCAAAGAUACACUCUGAAUUUCGUUCCAGUUGCCUAUAAUCUGGAGAGUAUCGAGCUUUGCAAAGAGGAGAAGGUUUUGUGCAGAUUUCCAUAUCUUCUUCAUCUGUGAACAUGUCUGCAGGUAUGCACUGAUGCAAUUAUUUCUGUUCUAUCGGAUCUCACUUUCAAGAACACAAGGAUUAAACAAUUAAAUCACAACCCUUUGAUCAUGUACGCAAUAUGAAUGUAAGAACAGAAAUAAUUGCAUCAGUGCAUACCUGUAGACAUGUUCACAGACGAAGAAGAUAUGGAAAUCUGCACAAAACCUUCUCCUCUCUGCAAAGCUCGAUACUCUCCAGAUUAUAGGCAACUGGAACGAAAUUCAGAGUGUAUCUUUGCGGGAGCAGGGGCUUGUGGUUUUAUACUACAAGUUCCGGAUCACCUAGAACAAUCCUACAAGGAAUAUGAAACUAAAUCCUUGUACAAUCAAGAGUACUAAACUCAAAUCCCAAAUAGAGUUCUAAUCCAAACCAAAACUGGAUUACUCUUAUAAACAAACUGAGACCUUAUCACUUUAUACUAAUCUGAAAUAUCUAAACCGUGUGAAUCAUAAUCACACUCUAACAAGGAAACCUCGUCCGCAGUAUGGAACUCUGAUAGGCUGAUCCUUCUCUCCUCUAAGACCAACUUCUCCUUCACUACAAGGUCCAUCACCUGCAAAAUUCAAAAAGAUCGAUCAGUGAGUCAGAGGAAAACCAAGUGUAAAAUAUUAUUACCAAACAAAACGUUUGGGGCGUCUUUGUCAAGGAUCGAUGUACAAAGGUUAAAAUCUCAUUACCACCAAAUUGAAGGAGAACAAUAUUUCAAUUCAUGGAGAACGAUGGAAAUUCCAAUAAUAAGAGGGAAUCUACACAACUUACCGUUGCUCGAGUAAUGCCAGGAAGGCAGCAAUCAGCAUGAGGAGUCAAAACACAGCCUUUCUUCACCAAAAACUGCAUAAUCAAACAGAGUUUGUUUACAGUGUGGAUGUCACGUAAUUGAGACGGAGUGGAAGGAAGUGAUAGGACGUGAUAAUACAAUAGCAGAAGUCACUAUGACAUUGCAUUACUUAAGGAGAACAGGUCUAUAUUUUGUGCUCAUUAAAAUGUUACAAACUAGCGAGUUGAUCCAGCCCUCUAACGUUCACUUGAGACUAGUUUACAUGGACAUGUUUCUGAUGCUUUCAUGAAUGAAAGCAUCGGAAAUAACAAUGGAAAACUACAUCCUGAAAAAUGGAACCUAGCCACCAAAUUUUCAUACAGCAACGAAACCUGAAGAGAAAAAGCAUAGGCUUACAAUGUUCGUAGCGUUUGUUUCAGACACAUAGCCAUCAUUGUCAAGCAUGAUUGCAUCAUCAGCAUUUGCGUUGUUGCCUUCUAUCUGCAAUAUAUUCAAGAUGACUUGAACAAAGGUAGCUCAAAGUUCUGCAAGAUCAAAUACACCGCACAUGACAUGUUACCAGCUGAUGACACAAACUGAACUUACCUUUGCAAGUAUAUUAUUGAGUAGGUUAUUGUGGUGAAUCUUUGAAUCCAAAUUCUGGUAAAAGAAAAACGAAAAAAAAGUCGUAAAUCUAUAGUCAGGUGAGAAAAUGCAUAGGUAAGUGGAGGAAAAAAAAAAAGUUCUCUCUCUCUCUCAGUGGAAACCCUAGCAACCUCUAGUGUCGAUAGGAGGAAUAUGGGGAUAUUUCUUUGCUCCAACCAUUUUCUGUGAUUUUAAAAGGCUAAACACUUGUAACUCGAGUGAAAGGAGAAGACCUAAUGUUUGUCUUUCUCCCAAAGACCAGUUGUUUCUUCAUUGUCUGUAUUGCGUUGUGCUUAGGGUUGUUUGAGUUGGUUUUCUUAGCUCUUUUUUUGUGAAAGGCACAGUGAUUUUGGUGAAAGAUUUACGACUCUUUGGAAAAAAAAGUUUUCCAACUUAUCUAUAGUCACCAGGCAUCAAUCUUGUCGAAAAUCUGAUUUUCCUCCACUUACCUAUCUAAAUGCUCUUCAAGCUUAAAUAUCUUCCCAUCCUAAACUCGAAGACCCUCCCAAACUGAAUCACCGCCUUGGACAACCGAGUUGAACACAGAAACCUUGGACAGGAUAGAAAUAAAUAUCCAUAACUAUAGCAUCGAAACAAAAGACUGGAGGGAUGAUCUGUCAACUGGAGAACAUCAAGUGUCUCGUGUACAGGUAUCUUUGCACUCUCGCGCGGUACAAUCUGAUCACCAACCCAUGCAAGUAGCUUCUUAUUUUCUGGAACUGGAAGAUCGGGCUCAGGCAAAGGAGACUUCAGAAGGCUCGAUGUCUGCCUCACAUGGCGCCUAAGAAAGUUGUAGAAAGGUAGACUUUGCUCAAGUACGUCAUACAGAGACAUAGGGAAUGGCUGAAAAAACACACAUAGAGCAUAUUCUCAGACGUUGUGUCAUGCUGUAACUUGAGUUGUCAUUAUCUAUCAAAAUGCAAAAUUGUGGGAACAGGCAAGAAAAAGGUUAAAUACACAAUUAUAUAACUAAGAGAAAAAAGACAUUUAACUAUUUGCAGUCCGUCCAACGAGUACAUGUAGUAUAACCUAAUUAUCUAUAUUUCGGAUGAUCUUUGUGUCUAUUGUUUCCUAGCAUGCGAUCAAAAUCUAGCACUUAAACUAGAAUUAAGUAUGUUUCAAAGAGAACCACAUUUUAAUGACUACAUCUUUGAUUAAAUAUACAACUCGUAAGGUUUCAACAUAUGCAAAUCUAAAGUAACGUAACGCAAAAACAGCAUACCACAGGAUAUUUUGUUGGUGGUUGAAAGCCUGUUGAUUUAUGCGCAGUUUCGUACCACCAUGGAGCCCAAACACCAUCUAUCGCUUUUGGACCAGCCUCCCAUCUUAAAAGGAAGUUUCGUUGGAAACUUUUCAUGAACAAAAAGGCUAAACUAAACUACAGUAUCUACAUUAAUUCAAAAAGAACUAGACCAGAAGAGUAUCAACUUAAAUGGAAUAGCGUCGGCAUACUUGGGCAUUGUGGGCUGAAAAGGAAUAUCCAAGUCUUCACAAAGACCGCUUAAUGUAGCCUGCAUCGUCAACGAGAUAAAGGUGAAAAGAAAACAGAAGAUUGAGAAAGUUUUAUUUAAGCAAUACAUAGACAAUAUGCAAUGCUUGGUCAAUGCAGAGAAAUCACUUAUGAUAAAUUGUGGAUAGAUAUUAAAAAAAAACUCUCUAAUACCUCAGGAUCUAGUUGAAGUUCUGCUGCAUCAACGAUGGGAGGGGGCUGCCCCAGUUGGGAGGGCUCACUAUAUAUGGUGACCAUUUCUGCCAAACCUAAUUCAGCCAGGGACGGAGGAACAACCUUGUCAAAGGAUGCCUGACAAACAUCAAACAGUGACGUCAGUAAAACCACA
This 5579-nucleotide long non-coding RNA is filed under the name Malus domestica (apple). RNAcentral's name for it is "long non-coding RNA (MDOM_LNC011652)". The record is from RNAcentral. Lineage: Eukaryota; Viridiplantae; Streptophyta; Magnoliopsida; Rosales; Rosaceae.